GUUUCAUAUAUGAAUGUACACUUAAUAAUAGGUACAGGACAUAAAAAAGUUGCCUAUAACAUUAUAUCACCUGUCCUACAUGUGAACAAUGCAUAACACUAUAGUGAGUAUUCACAUUUUAAGUGAUAUACUUAUAAAUAUCAAAUUGAUCCCAUAAGGACCUAAGCAGAGAAACAUCUCCCCUUUCGAAAUUGUACAUUUCACUUAACAGAGAUAACCUAGAAAACAAAAUGUGAUUCUAACAUUGAUACUUCAAUAAAACACAGAAGGGAC
Molecule: non-coding RNA, 273 nt
Organism: Pelobates cultripes (western spadefoot toad)
Lineage: Eukaryota; Metazoa; Chordata; Amphibia; Anura; Pelobatidae
Source: the annotation of a GenBank genome assembly